UCAUGGCUCAGGACGAACGCUGGCGGCACGCUUAACACAUGCAAGUCGAACGGAGUUAUCGAGAGCUUGCUUUGAUAACUUAGUGGCGGACGGGUGAGUAACACGUGAGCAAUCUGCCCUUAAGAGGGGGAUAGCAGUUGGAAACGACUGAUAAUACCGCAUAAGAUAGUAGUACCGCAUGGUACAGCUAUAAAGAUUUAUCGCUUAAGGAUGAGCUCGCGUCUGAUUAGCUAGUUGGUGAGGUAACGGCUCACCAAGGCAACGAUCAGUAGCCGGACUGAGAGGUUGGACGGCCACAUUGGGACUGAGACACGGCCCAGACUCCUACGGGAGGCAGCAGUGGGGAAUAUUGCACAAUGGAGGAAACUCUGAUGCAGCGAUGCCGCGUGAGGGAAGAAGGUUUUAGGAUUGUAAACCUCUGUUGACAGGGACGAUAAUGACGGUACCUGUUGAGGAAGCUCCGGCUAACUACGUGCCAGCCGCAGC
Molecule: ribosomal RNA, 486 nt
Filed under: uncultured bacterium
Lineage: Bacteria
Description: bacterial SSU rRNA
Rfam family: Bacterial small subunit ribosomal RNA
Source: RNAcentral